UGGGGAAUUUUGCGCAAUGGGCGAAAGCCUGACGCAGUGAUGCCGCGUGAGGGACGAAGGCCUUCGGGUUGUAAACCUCUGUGAGAAGGGAAGAAAAGGACGUAUUCUAAUAGGGUAUGUUUUUGACUGUACUUUCAGAGGAAGUGACGGCAAACUCUGUGCCAGCAGCCGCGGUAAUACAGAGGGGGCAAGCGUUAUUCGGAAUUAUUGGGCGUAAAGGGCGCGUAGGCGGUUUUUUAAGUCAGAUGUGUAAUCCCCGAGCUCAACUUGGGAACUGCAUCUGAGACUGGAAGGCUAGAGUACUGGAGAGGGUGGUGGAAUUCCUCGUGUAGCGGUGAAAUGCGUAGAGAUGAGGAGGAACACCAGUGGCGAAGGCGGCCACCUGGACAGUAACUGACGCUGAGGCGCGAAAGUGUGGGUAGCAAACAGG
RNAcentral lists this ribosomal RNA (430 nucleotides) under uncultured bacterium. RNAcentral's name for it is "bacterial SSU rRNA". It matches the Rfam family "Bacterial small subunit ribosomal RNA", at positions 355 to 776 of the family's 1533-position model. The record is from RNAcentral.